RNAcentral lists this ribosomal RNA (253 nucleotides) under uncultured bacterium. RNAcentral describes it as "partial 16S ribosomal RNA". It matches the Rfam family "Bacterial small subunit ribosomal RNA", at positions 524 to 776 of the family's 1533-position model. The record is from RNAcentral.
UACGGAAGGGGCAAGCGUUGUUCGGAAUCGUUGGGCGUAAAGGGCGCGUAGGUGGUGCUGUAUGUCUCCCGUGAAAGCCCACGGCUCAACUGUGGGAGGUCGGGAGAAACUGGAGGGCUAGAGUAUCGGAGAGGUUGGUGGAAUUCUCGGUGUAGAGGUGAAAUUCGUAGAUAUCGAGAGGAACACCGGUGGCGAAGGCGGCCAACUGGACGAAUACUGACGCUGAGACUCGAAAGCGUGGGGAGCAAACAGG